This 1300-nucleotide unclassified non-coding RNA is filed under the name Bombus terrestris (buff-tailed bumblebee). RNAcentral's name for it is "misc RNA ENSBTSG00005028982.1". The record is from RNAcentral. Lineage: Eukaryota; Metazoa; Arthropoda; Insecta; Hymenoptera; Apidae.
ACCCUCACUUUACUAACGAAAAGUGUGAGCAACGAAUCCGAUUUCUUAGUUCAAAAGGCAUUCGCACACCGAGCUUUCCCCCGUAAUAACACGAGAACGGACUUCACUUCUUCUAUUACAUCAGGAGAGUUAACUUCUUCUUCUACGACAUCAAGAGGGUCAACUCAACUUCUUCUUCUACUACAUUACUACAUUCAACUGUAAGGGACUUAUUCUACUACGACAGAACAUUCAGUGCAUCUCUAUCGGGUCUUCAUCCGUCAAAUAUUCGUCUACGACAUUUAUAUCACACGUAACAAGCAGUACCAGCAACAGCAGCAGCAGCAACAGCAGCAGCUGCAGCAGCAGCUGCAGCAGCAGCUACAGCAGCAGCUACAGCAGCAACAGCAGCAGCAGCUACAGCAGCAACAGCAGCAGCAGCUACAGCAGCAACAGCAGGAACAGCAGCAGGAGCUGCAGCAGGAGCAGCAGGAGCUGCAGGAGCAGGAGGAGCUGCAGGAGCAGGAGGAGCUGCAGGAGCAGGAGGAGCUGCAGGAGCAGGAGGAGCUGCAGCAGCAGCUACAGCAGCAACAGCAGCAGCAGCUGCAGCAGCAACAGCAACAGCACCCGUACCCGUUCCCGCACCAGCGCCCAGUCCAGCACCAGCACCCGCUCCAGCAGCAGCACUCGUACUCUUACCAGCACCAACACCUGCAGCAGCACCUGCAGCAGCACCUGAACCAGCACCUGAACCAGCACUUGAACCAGCACAUUCACCAGCUCCUGCACCAGAACCAGCACCAGAACCAGCACCAGCACUUGGACCAGCACCAGCACUUGGACCAGCACUCGCACCAGCAUUUGCACCAGCACCCGCAGCAGCACCCGCAGCAGCACCCGCAGCAGCACCCGCAGCAGCACCUGCGCCAGCACCAAUGCACCAGCAAAUGCUCCAGCACCACCACCAUCACCACCACCCGUUCCAGCACCACCACCACCACCCGUUCCAGCACCACCAGCAGCAGCAGCAGCACCAGCACCACCAUCAGUAGCAGCACCAGUACUACCACCAGCAAUGGCACCAGCACCACCAUCACCAGCACCACCAUCAUCAGCACCAGCACCAGCACCAGCAUCAGCACCAGCACCAGCACCAGCGCACCACCACCAGCACCAAUGCACCUGUACACCAGUGCACCAGGAUCAAUGCACUUGUACACCAGUGCACCAGGACCAAUGCACCUGCACACCGGUGCACCAGCACCAAUGCCCCAGCAAACCGGCGCACCAACAUCAAUGCACCUGCACACUGGUGCACCAG